CGCCCGUCACCAGUCGGCCGGGCGCCGGUCUCGGUGGCGUGCUGGGGUCGGCGGUCUCGUCCCUCAGCCGCUGGGUGGCACAGAGCACACGCUAAACCCCGCUCUGAGUGGAGCAAUGGACCGGCGCUGGAGUGUGAUACCUGGCAUGACCGAUACCGUCACGGUGGAAGAAACUGCUGCUUGCUUAAAUACAAACAGCAAAACUGCAAGUCAAGUGUUUUGCACCGGUGAAGAUGAUGGUUAAUGACUACAUUCACGCUAACAAUAGGAGCUAAUGUUCGUGAGAAAACUGCACGUACGCUGCAAAGUGUAAUUUCAAGGAUAUUAGCUGGCGACUGCCAUCAAUUAAAGAGCCCAUUUGUCAAGUGCACUGUUAAAUGCUAUAGUAAUGUGUUGGAAUCGGUGUUAAAUCAUAGCGAUUUGAGGUUUGUGGAGUGUUGUAUGAUAUGCUAUGUUCAAAACGUUAUUGCUUAACUUAGAGUUUCAUUGUUUUAACUCCAGUCCGGUACAUCAGCAAGGUAGUAAACUGGAAGGAGGAGAUUCAGAAUGUUACAGAAAUCUCACAGAAAGUGUAUUUGGCUUUAUUUUGUGUUCUGCUGUUAAACUGUGCCUAGUGCUUGAGUUGUUAAUCAAGUGCAAAUUACUCUCAGGAGUCUCUUCUCCUUCUCAUCAAUAUAUGGCUGUCCAGCAAUUAGCCUUCUUUAAAAGCAAAUAUUUUGAAAUUCAAGGAAAGUUGACAGAGUAACAAGAACCCUUGUUCUACUCGGAUUAUGAAAUGCAUAAGGGGGAGUUUGUGUACAGUUAUAUGGCUGAUAUUCAGAGGAUUUUUUUAAAUAAAUAGGUUCUAGUGGCAAAUGGAA
Long non-coding RNA from Harpia harpyja (harpy eagle), 860 nucleotides. RefSeq lists it as uncharacterized. Lineage: Eukaryota; Metazoa; Chordata; Aves; Accipitriformes; Accipitridae. The record is from RefSeq and is a predicted model, not a curated record. The transcript has 2 exons.